RNAcentral lists this ribosomal RNA (467 nucleotides) under uncultured bacterium. RNAcentral's name for it is "partial 16S ribosomal RNA". It matches the Rfam family "Bacterial small subunit ribosomal RNA", at positions 28 to 506 of the family's 1533-position model. The record is from RNAcentral.
GACGAACGCUGGCGGCGUGCUUAACACAUGCAAGUCGAACGGAAAGGCCCUGCUUUUGUGGGGUGCUCGAGUGGCGAACGGGUGAGUAACACGUGAGUAACCUGCCCUUAACUUUGGGAUAACUUCAGGAAACUGGGGCUAAUACCGGAUAGGAGCUCCUGCUGCAUGGUGGGGGUUGGAAAGUUUCGGCGGUUGGGGAUGGACUCGCGGCUUAUCAGCUUGUUGGUGGGGUAGUGGCUUACCAAGGCUUUGACGGGUAGCCGGCCUGAGAGGGUGACCGGCCACAUGGGGACUGAGAUACGGCCCAGACUCCUACGGGAGGCAGGAGUGGGGAAUAUUGCACAAUGGGCGGAAGCCUGAUGCAGCAACGCCGCGUGCGGGAUGACGGCCUUCGGGUUGUAAACCGCUUUCGCCUGUGACGAAGCGUGAGUGACGGUAAUGGGGAAAGAAGCACCGGCUAACUACGU